Cervus elaphus (red deer) is the source of this 853-nucleotide long non-coding RNA. RefSeq lists it as uncharacterized. The transcript is spliced from 3 exons. Lineage: Eukaryota; Metazoa; Chordata; Mammalia; Artiodactyla; Cervidae. The record is from RefSeq and is a predicted model, not a curated record.
UCCUAUAGCAAAACGGCUGGUGGGCUGCACGGGAAGAACCGCGCAUGACACGUCAAUCCAAGAUGGAGGCAGCAGGCCGAGAAGCUGCACUCGGCCCUCGGAAUCCAUUAGGCGCACGCACGCAGGCACGUGCAGAGAGAACCCCGCCCCCUCCUUGCUUUGGCACGCACGCAGGCACGUGCGGAGAGAACCCCGCCCCCUCCUUGCUUUGGCGUAUAUAAAGCAGCCCCCACCACAGCCUUCGGCCCUGAAGAGCACGUGCUCCAGUGCGUGAGCUGGUGUCUCUCCGUUGGUCUGUCAGAGAAGGACGCUUUCCUUUGCUUCUGAAGCUAACUGAGUCACAUUCUGUCAGCUGAAAGGACACCGAGCAGAAGGACCGUUCAUAAGGAAAGUCCUUGACUUAAUAAGCAAAGGAAAAAUGUAUGCUGCGGUUCCUGAAGAUCUCUGAUUUAAGUUUAAACAAAGAAGGCUUCUUUGAAAGGUCCAAGUAAGAAAUGCCAAGCUAAGGAGGAUGGAGCUGGCCUGGGAGCUUUGUGAGUUAUCAGGAGACCUGGGUUCAAUUUCUGGAUCAGGAAGAUCCCUUGGAGAAGGAAAUGGCAACCCACCCCAGUAUUCUUGCCUGGAGAAUCCCACGGACAAGAGAAGCAUGGCAGGCUACAGUCCACGGAGUUGCAAGAGUCAGACACAACUUUGUGACUAAACCACCAUGCAGCACAUCCUUGUUUCUCGUGUUGGUUUGUAUCUCUUAAUCUUAUACCUCUAAUUUGUCCCUCCUGCCUUUACUUUAUUCUUUGGUAACCACAAGUUUAUUUUCUAUAUCUGUGAUUUUGUUUCUGUUUUGCAUAUACCUUCA